AACUUCUCUGGAGAUCCCUGUGUGUCUGAGGCCUUUUGAAGCCUUCUGAAGACACUGAAAUGCUGCUAUCAGGUCUCCUCAGAGCUUUCACUUCUCCUUGGAUCAUUCCAGUGCUCCUCCUCUGGAAGUGUUCCAACGGGUCCAUGUCUCCUCUUGUACUGAGGACUCCACAUCAAGAUGUGUUAUUUUAGGUGAAUUAUCACCAGCCCAGAGUAGAGGAGCAGGAAUACCUCUCUUGACCUGAUGGCCACGCUUCUGUUGAAGCAGCCUGAUAGAUCAGUGUCUUUUCUGGCUGCAAGGGCACAUCACUGGAUCAUGUCUAGCUUGUCAUCCACCGGUACCCUUUUUGGCAGGAUUGUACCCUAUCCAUUCAUUUUCCAGCUUGUAUUGACUGUGGGGGUUGCUAUGACCCUUUUGCAAGACCUCCUACUUGGAUCUGUUGAACCUCAUGAGAUUCACCUGGACCUCAUCCUGGAUCAAGACUGUCUAGAUCUCUCUGCUUGGCAUCCCAUCCCUUAUGCAUGUUGACCACAGCUUGGUGUCAUCUGAAAAUUUGCUGAGGGCGCACUUGAUCCCACAAUCAAUGCCACUGAUGAAGGUGUUUAAGAAUAUUGGUCUCAGUACUGACCCCUGAGAGACACCUUUCAUUAUUGAUCUCCAUUUGGACACUGAAUGGUUGACCAUCACUCUCUGGAUAUGAUUUCACAACCAAUUCCUCAUUCGCUAAACUGUGCAUCCGUCAAAUCCGUAUCUUUCCAGUCUGGAGAGGAGGAUGUUGUGGAGGACUAUACCAAAAGCCUUACUGAAGUCCAGAUAGCUCACAUCAGUGAUUCCUCCUUUGUCCACUGAUGCAGAUGCGCCACCAUAGAAGGCCAUGAAGCUGGUAAGGCUGGAGUUGCCCAUGGUGAGGACUUGCAAGUUGUCUUGAAUCACCUCUCUCUCUUCAACUUGCCUUAAUAUAUCUUCCAGGAGGAAAUUCCAUAUAGUUCUACGAUCUUCCUGGGAAGAGAGGUGAUGGUGGCAGCUCAGUAAUUCCAUCCCAUCAGAGUCUGUUCCGAACUUCUGAAUACUGUGUUCAGUAUGGAAUCACAUCCUGUAGAUUUAUCUGUUUCCAAGAUGUAGAUAGAGAAGUUAAACAUCUCUCUUCUCUUGUAGUCAUGUCUUCAGCUAGAUGUUAUCUUUCAUUAAAAACACUGUUUUCUUUUUAGUCUUUUCAGAUAUUGCUGUGGCUAGAAUGAGAGACAGGCUUAAUAUAUAUUUUCUUUUCUUGUAGUUCUGACCUCUGAACAGGACUCUAUAAAACCUUAUUUAUCCAGAAUUUACUAAAAUAUAAAAGAACCCUGGAAAAAAAUUUCAUGUGGAAGAAAAAGCAUAGAAACAAAAAAAUCCUGAAGUGCAAAAUUUGUUUUAUGACUCUGUCUAAUGCUAUUUAAUCAUGUUCACAUAUUCUGGUAAGUUUGGGUAUCAGGUUUUGUUUUGUUUUUACCUGUGUAUCAGUAACCUCUGAAUCUGCUAUUUAAUAUUAGUCAUGUUGCUGAAGGGCCUUCCUGACAAGCAGUCAAAACACUUCCAAGCACCAUAACUGUGAAAAGUGGUAUUCUACCACUCUUGCACAGGAUGUCUGCAACUGUACUAUGCGCAACGCAAGGGAGAGUCAGAACCCAGGACCUCUUAUCAGCUAUAAAAGACAGCCAUGAUUAAAUGAAUAAAAGCAUGAUGUUAUCAGAACUUAAAAUUCUGACACAAUCCUGUUGGAAUUAGCAUGGAAAGUAUUUUUUUCUAGUGUUCCACAAGGAUGUACUUUGUGUGUUUCAUUGUCAAGUAAGAAUGAAAAGUCAGCUGAAGUACUACUGCUAUGAAACCUAUGCUCAAGGAGUAUUAAUCUCCUUGUGCUCUCCUAAUGAAAAUAAAUUAAAAAAAAAAACACAGCAUAUUAAAAUUUCCUUACUGUAAAAGCAAUGGGGAAUUCUGGGAAGAAAACCUCGGUGGAAGAAAGCCUUAUCUUUAAUCUCUUAAAACUUCCUCUUGCUAUUUUCAUACUACUUUUCUCCACUUAGAAUCCUAUCUGUGGCCAACUACUAGGUAACAAAGUGAAAACACUCUCCUUUCACGAUCUUUCAGUUUGCAUUUUAUCUGUCAAUUACAGCUAUGGUCUUUUCUGGCUCUCACAGUACCCUAAAGAAAUAUCAACAGGUGAAAUCUGAAUUUCCCAUGACACAAGACAUUUUGCAUAAUGAUCAGGGAGAGAGGAUUAAAUAUGUAGAGGAAACAGAUACACAGAAAGCAUUUAGUGGAUUAUUGGUUUAACUUUUCAAGCCAGCUUAGGAAUGUGAAAUUUAUGUUUUUCAGAGCUAAUGUAUCCAUACCAAUUUUGCUCACUACCAUUGUGUUAAAUAUUUCUUAUCAUAUUUUUGAUAUUAAGAAGUUAAUUAUAUGUAAGUUGGGCCACAUUACCAGAAAAUCUUAGUCUCAAUUCGUUGCU
This is a long non-coding RNA of Gallus gallus (chicken), 2482 nucleotides long. The record is from Ensembl. Lineage: Eukaryota; Metazoa; Chordata; Aves; Galliformes; Phasianidae.